This 280-nucleotide ribosomal RNA is filed under the name uncultured bacterium. Its description in RNAcentral is "partial 16S ribosomal RNA". It matches the Rfam family "Bacterial small subunit ribosomal RNA", at positions 773 to 1060 of the family's 1533-position model. The record is from RNAcentral.
GUGGAUUAGAUACCCUGGUAGUCCACGCCGUAAACGAUGGAUACUAGCUGUUGGGAGCAAUUUCAGUGGCUAAGCGAAAGUGAUAAGUAUCCCACCUGGGGAGUACGUUCGCAAGAAUGAAACUCAAAGGAAUUGACGGGGGCCCGCACAAGCGGUGGAGCAUGUGGUUUAAUUCGAUGAUACGCGAGGAACCUUACCAAGGCUUAAAUGUAGUCUGACAGGACUGGAAACAGUUUUUUCUUCGGACAGAUUACAAGGUGCUGCACGGUUGUCGUCAGCU